AACGAACGCUGGCGGCGCGUCUUAAGCAUGCAAGUCGAACGGCAAGAGAGGAGCUUGCUUCUCUCCUAGAGUGGCGGACUGGUGAGGAACACGUGGGUAAUCUACCCUUAAGAUGGGGAUAGCUGCUAGAAAUAGCAGGUAAUACCGAAUACACUCGGCAUAUCACAAGAGGUGUUGAGGAAAGGAAGCUACGGCUUCGCUUGAGGAUGAGCUUGCGUCCCAUUAGCUAGUUGGUGGGGUAAAGGCCCACCAAGGCGACGAUGGGUAUCCGGCCUGAGAGGGUGAACGGCCACAUUGGGACUGAGAUACGGCCCAAACUCCUACGGGAGGCAGCAGCUAAGAAUAUUCCGCAAUGGACGGAAGUCUGACGGAGCGACGCCGCGUGGAUGAAGAAGGCUGAAAAGUUGUAAAAUCCUUUUGUUGAUGAAGAAUAAGGGUGAGAGGGAAUGCUCAUCUGAUGACGGUAAUCGACGAAUAAGCCCCGGCUAAUUACGUG
RNAcentral lists this ribosomal RNA (496 nucleotides) under uncultured bacterium. Its description in RNAcentral is "partial 16S ribosomal RNA". It matches the Rfam family "Bacterial small subunit ribosomal RNA", at positions 29 to 507 of the family's 1533-position model. The record is from RNAcentral.